Molecule: ribosomal RNA, 301 nt
Filed under: uncultured bacterium
Lineage: Bacteria
Description: partial 16S ribosomal RNA
Rfam family: Bacterial small subunit ribosomal RNA
Source: RNAcentral
CAGCCGCCGCGGGAAUACGUAGGUGGCGAGCGUUGUCCGGAAUUAUUGGGCGUAAAGGGAGCGCAGGCGGACAUAUAAGUCCAUCUUAAAAGUGCGGGGCUCAACCCCGUGAGGGGAUGGAAACUGUAUGCCUUGAGUGCAGGAGAGGAAAGCGGAAUCCCCAGUGUAGCGGUGAAAUGCGUAGAUAUUGGGAGGAACACCAGUGGCGAAGGCGGCUUUCUGGACUGCAACUGACGCUGAGGCUCGAAAGCCAGGGGAGCGAACGGGAUUAGAUACCCGUGUAGUCCCUGUCUCUUAUACA